Molecule: ribosomal RNA, 261 nt
Filed under: uncultured bacterium
Lineage: Bacteria
Description: partial 16S ribosomal RNA
Rfam family: Bacterial small subunit ribosomal RNA
Source: RNAcentral
UGAGUGGCGGACGGGUGAGUAACGCGUGGGCAACCUGCCCUGUACAGGGGGACAACACUUAGAAAUAGGUGCUAAUACCGCAUAACGGGGGGAGCCGCAUGGCACCCCCCUGAAAACUCCGGUGGUACAGGAUGGGCCCGCGUCUGAUUAGCCAGUUGGCAGGGUAACGGCCUACCAAAGCGACGAUCAGUAGCCGGCCUGAGAGGGCGGACGGCCACACUGGGACUGAGACACGGCCCAGACUCCUACGGAAGGCAGCAG